CACGUGGGUAACCUGCCCAAGAGAUCGGGAUAACACCUGGAAACAGAUGCUAAUACCGGAUAACAACAGAUGAUGCCUAUCAACUGUUUAAAAGAUGGUUCUGCUAUCACUCUUGGAUGGACCUGCGGUGCAUUAGCUAGUUGGUAGGGUAACGGCCUACCAAGGCGAUGAUGCAUAGCCGAGUUGAGAGACCGAUCGGCCACAUUGGGACUGAGACACGGCCCAAACUCCUACGGGAGGCAGCAGCC
RNAcentral lists this ribosomal RNA (248 nucleotides) under uncultured Lactobacillus sp. RNAcentral describes it as "partial 16S ribosomal RNA". It matches the Rfam family "Bacterial small subunit ribosomal RNA", at positions 114 to 355 of the family's 1533-position model. Lineage: Bacteria; Bacillati; Bacillota; Bacilli; Lactobacillales; Lactobacillaceae. The record is from RNAcentral.